GCAGUAGCCGCGGUAAUACGCAGGGGGCUAGAGUUGCUCGGAAUUACUGGGCAUAAAGGGAGCGUAGGCGGGUCGUUUAGUCAGAGGUGAAAUCCCGGGGCUCAACCUCGGAACUGCCUUUGAUACUGGCGACCUUGAGUAUGGGAGAGGUAAGCGGAACUCCGAGUGUAGAGGUGAAAUUCGUAGAUAUUCGGAAGAACACCAGUGGCGAAGGCGGCUUACUGGCCCAUUACUGACGCUGAGGCUCGAAAGCGUGGGGAGCAAACAGGAUUAGAUACCCGCGUAGUCCCUGUCUCUUAUAC
RNAcentral lists this ribosomal RNA (302 nucleotides) under uncultured bacterium. Its description in RNAcentral is "partial 16S ribosomal RNA". It matches the Rfam family "Bacterial small subunit ribosomal RNA", at positions 508 to 807 of the family's 1533-position model. The record is from RNAcentral.